Molecule: long non-coding RNA, 2319 nt
Organism: Mytilus californianus (California mussel)
Lineage: Eukaryota; Metazoa; Mollusca; Bivalvia; Mytilida; Mytilidae
Exons: 3
Source: RefSeq, a predicted model, not a curated record
UUCGCGAUGUUUUUUCAAAAGAACGUCAUCCGCGGCACGCAUUUCGAGCAGGGAUAGCCCUCUUCAAACUGAAAUAGAAAUAUGUUCCUGACGUCAUAUCGAUCUAAUUUUGUUAUCCAAUGAAAGAGCAGGGUUUCUUUUUCCUUUUGGUACCAGUCAAAUUUCACCUUUCGGUUUCUGUGACCUUGCAAUUUCAAUAACAAAAGUUCAAGUCGAAAAUUUACCAGAUUAACGUCGAGUAAUAACAGUGCCUACGUGAAAAUGUCCAGUGAACAGGAAUGUUGGAAACGGCUGUCGGAGUUCAACGUUAAUCGAGAAACAGUGGUCGCUUUGUUGAAGGACGAGAAUUAUACCGGUUAGUUCUCAUAUUUUAUGCUUUUAACUUUUUUUAAGCUUUAGAAAUUAGGAAAAUAAAAGAAUUUGAAUAACGAUAAAGCAAAUAAAUUGGGGCAAUAGGGGGUGGGGCAUAGAUAUAUAUGUAAGUUUAUCGUGAAAAAGGAACCGAAAUAGGGAAGUUUCAAUGAGACUUAAGUGUCAGGUCAAUAAACAAAGGGUUCUGGAUCAUUUUUUAGCAAAGAUACUAAUUAUUUUUAUAGUUUAUUGGAAGCUUGUCACUGAUUAUAAGAUAAUUUCUAAAAUUUAAACCUAGAUCAUGCACAUGUUACUUUAAUAUACUUAUCUUUAGGUAGAGGAAAUUCCUUACAUAAAUAUGUUUCAAAUUUAGCAACGGAUAUCCAAUCCACACUUGAACAGGGUGUUUUUAUGUUAAUUUUUACAUAACAUUAAAAAAAAUAAUACUGCAUCAUUUUAAUAAAUGUAUGAAUCAUGUUCCAUGGCAUUAGAACCUUUUCUUUGUGGUCCCUUCUUUGUGUUUUUCAGCUUAAUGGAUAUUCUAAUUGUUCGAACAUCUAGAAUGUCAGCAAAUUUGGAUGAUGUAGCCUUUAAUAGAUGUUGCAUUGCUGGAUGAUGAAACUAUAUGAGUGAACUCAUUGCUUGACAAGUCAAUAUAUGAUAAUGCCAUACCAUCGUAGAAAUAGAAACCAUACUUAUCUCUUACCAUCACCAACCAAUGAUCAUGAUGUCAUAUUAUUUUCACCAUCGCUGGACGAUGACAAUUUAGACCAUGGUAUAUUUGUAACACGUACCUGAUGAAAUAAUAGUCUGGAUCCCAUAGAUGUAAGCUUGACCAGCAAUUGCAUUGCAAAUUUGGAAAAAUGUCAUGGAAUGGUAACCUAUCAAUAGAACCUUGAGGAAUCUCGGACUCAGUAGUGGUACAACUUCAAAUGAUUCAGUGAUGCACUGAUGGUACAACUUCAACAGAAUUAUCCAACUGAUGUGUUAUUGAUGAAGAAAAUGAUGAUGCAGGCAUAUAACAGUGCUAGUAGUGAAUUUAUUAGAGCUGUUUAAAAAAUAAAAUACAUUAUAUGCUGGAAUUUUUUUUAUGAAAUCAUCAAAUACCACAUGUAUCAGGCAUAAUUUGUUUCAGUCGAUGAAUCAAUAACAUAAUGACAUUUUAUUAUUUGGCUCCAGUAACAUCCAGUGGCAAAUAUUUCAAGCAUAUUCAGGAUGAAAUAUACAACAUGUAAAUGCAUAAUUUGAUAUGCCAUGUGCCUGUUUUUUACAAAUGAACUCAGUCUCAGGAUGGGUAGUCAAUUCCUGUUGCCAGUUUGAUAACUUGUGUUAAGAUAUUUAGUUGAAUACCAAUAUUACAAAACUCAGCUGAAAAAUGAGAGAAUAAUGAAGAUAAAACAUAGAUCGUGAGGUAAAAACUUGGGAUUACCUUCAAAUGGGAGCCAUUUUGGAUCAAAAUGGCCACCAUUGAGAGUUCAACUGUCAUAAUUCAUUCAAAACCUGAUACCUUGUAUUAAAACAAACAAUUUGAUACCAACAUUGCAAAAAUCAGUUGAGAAAUGACUGAGUAUUGAUGAAAAAUGUUUAAUCGAAACAGAAAAACUCCGAAAUGGGAGCCAUUUUGAAUCAAAAUGGCUACCAUUUUGAGUUGUAUUGUCACAAUUCAUUCCAAAAUUGGUACCUUGUGUUAAGACAAACAAUUUGAUACCAGCAUUGCAAAAAUCAGUCAAAAAAUGACAGAGUAAUAUGACAAAAAGCAUUUAAUCGGGAUAGAAAAUCUAGAAAACGGGAGCCAUUUUGAAUCAAAAUGGCUACCAAUUUGAGCUGGUUUGUCCCAAUACAAUAAAAAAUUGGUACCUUGUAUCAAGACAAACAAUUUGAUACCAGCAUUACAAAAAUCGGUCAAGAAAUAUGAGAGUAGGACUAAAAAAUGUAUAAAUUUCAUUCAAAAGUUAUGAAAUUGGCGGC